CAGCCGUUUCAUCAGGAAUUAGGUGGUGGAAACACUCAGAUUCACCAGGAUGAAAAUAUCGGUGUAAUAAUCACGAGUUUAAACAGUUAUUACAGUAGUAAUAGACGGGUUUGUUUCGAACAAACAAGUCUCCCCGUGAGAUGGAAGAGUCCAAGUGCAAGGUCAGCUGACCGAGUUAUAAAUACUGAACCAAACAGGGCCGUGCUUGUCUCCGAAGAACCAAGCUUUUAUUGAAAUAAACCCUCGAAUAUUCUGACAAUCAAUUUUGUCUUCAGUUGCCUGUGUGCAGCGGAGUGCUGACUGCCGUCAAGGUGAGCUCCAGCAGCCGGAGCGGCUGUUUGGAGCUGCAGCUGAAAGCAGAGCCUCAUCUUACAGGCUGCGUUCAGAAACAAGAUUUUCUCCCAGGUGCUGUUAUGAGGUUACACGUGAAAUGACGGCCGUCUGAGGACACAAACUCCUGAGCGGCCCUCAGCUCAGCACAGGUCUUAGUUAAGGAGUAGAUCCACCUGUUCCUGCACAGAUUUACAACGUCUCGAUCGGGCUGCCAUAAUGGAAACUGUUAUCUGUGCGGCCUCUGAGCAGCCUGUCCAGGUCACAGAUCAUUUCAGAUUAAAGCUCCCUGUGCAUCAAACAUUAACUCUGCUCUCCUCUGGGUUACAUAUUUGUGGUUCAAUGCUGAGGAGAACGCUCAGGCCAGGAUCCAGCUGCUGUGGCAUAGAGACUUUCACAUCUGCACAUAAACAUCGUCCUGUUGCUCACUUGAUUGUUUUAUAUCAUUAUUCGUCAGUUUUAGCUCUGACGGUCACAUUAUGCGGUGCCUCUUCAAACACAGCAACAGCACUACACGUCAGCAAAGACCUUUGACCUUUGAUUUUAACCAUUUUGUAAUACUUUCAUUUUUUUAUCAACUGUCCGAGCUCUGUGCAGUGUGAAGUCACACAAACUGGCCCCAAUCCAAAUUCUUCCCCCCCAUUUGAAGGGGGAGUGUAAGUGUAAGCGUGUCAGGACAUUUAUUUUUUAAAUCUGACCCUCCAAACGGAGGGGACAAAGUCCUCUGUCGGGAGAAGUGCUUUUCUUCACUUUGGUGCGCUCUGAAGCACAGAAGUCUACAUUUAAAUGUAACUAAUGACUUUUAGUUGUAGCAUGACCCUCUUAAAGUUAUAAAGCCGCUGUUGUUAUGUUUAUUCAAGCGCUGGAAGCUCUGCUCUAAAGCUAGCGGAACGGCGAUUAUUGAUGACGUCAUCGAUGAAAGUGACGUCUGAAAUAUGAGUCACUAUUUUUUAAAACUCUAAUAUGAAGGAGAAGAGAGAAGGCAAGAAUUCGGAUCAGGCCGUGGACUCAAGUCAUAAAUUUGAUAACUUGACUAAAUCCAACUGGACUUUAACGGCGCUGACUUGUUGGACUUCAAGCUCUUGGCUAAAAAACUGUAAAUUGUAUUUUCUUUUUAUUGACAUUGAUAUUUUAAAUGUUGCUUUUAUUGAUUGUUCUUAAGUUGACCAUUUUAACAUCUGUCCAGGGACAACAGAUGAAAAACAGCCGCUGGGCUAAUUCUGGCUCAUUGCAUACAAUGCGUUUAAUGUGCACUGUCCCUGAAAAAUAAAUCAAUAAAUAAAUAAAAUAAAAGACUUGCUACUUGUC
Molecule: long non-coding RNA, 1638 nt
Organism: Oryzias melastigma (Indian medaka)
Lineage: Eukaryota; Metazoa; Chordata; Actinopteri; Beloniformes; Adrianichthyidae
Exons: 4
Source: RefSeq, a predicted model, not a curated record